This is a non-coding RNA of Pelobates cultripes (western spadefoot toad), 248 nucleotides long. The record is from the annotation of a GenBank genome assembly. Lineage: Eukaryota; Metazoa; Chordata; Amphibia; Anura; Pelobatidae.
AAUGUGACCACAAACACACAAAAGUCCUUGAUCACAUGAACUGUUUCAUUCAUCCCUGUCUCCAUGCGUAUGUUCUAUGAGACUGUCGAAGAAUAGAGUAUCCAGUUUCCAGGACUAAUGUUUGUGAAAAUUCCAGGCAUACAGACCAGCCAGAGGCUACAGAAAUCGAGUCGGUCUGUGCCAUGAUUCAUAGGUGUUAUGAGUUUGUGGUGUCUAAUACUAUAUUAAGCUCCAAAACACAUCCUCAC